This 253-nucleotide ribosomal RNA is filed under the name uncultured bacterium. RNAcentral describes it as "partial 16S ribosomal RNA". It matches the Rfam family "Bacterial small subunit ribosomal RNA", at positions 524 to 776 of the family's 1533-position model. The record is from RNAcentral.
UACGGGGGGGGCAAGCGUUGUUCGGAAUUACUGGGCGUAAAGGGCUCGUAGGCGGCCAACUAAGUCAGACGUGAAAUCCCUCGGCUUAACCGGGGAACGGCCUCUGAUACUGGCUGGCUGGAGUUCGGGAGAGGGAUGCGGAAUUCCAGGUGUAGCGGUGAAAUGCGUAGAUAUCUGGAGGAACACCGGUGGCGAAGGCGGCAUCCUGGACCAACACUGACGCUGAGGAGCGAAAGCCAGGGGAGCAAACGGG